CCUACGGGUGGCAGCAGUGGGGAAUAUUGCACAAUGGGGGAAACCCUGAUGCAGCGACGCCGCGUGAGUGAAGAAGUAUUUCGGUAUGUAAAGCUCUAUCAGCAGGGAAGAAAAUGACGGUACCUGAGUAAGAAGCCCCGGCUAACUACGUGCCAGCAGCCGCGGUAAUACGUAGGGGGCAAGCGUUAUCCGGAUUUACUGGGUGUAAAGGGAGCGUAGACGGCAGGACAAGUCUGGAGUGAAAGGCGGGGGCUCAACCCCGGGACUGCUUUGGAAACUGUACGGCUGGAGUGCAGGAGAGGUAAGUGGAAUUCCUAGUGUAGCGGUGAAAUGCGUAGAUAUUAGGAGGAACACCAGUGGCGAAGGCGGCUUACUGGACUGUAACUGACGUUGAGGCUCGAAAGCGUGGGGAGCAAACAGGAUUAGAUACCCGAGUAGUC
RNAcentral lists this ribosomal RNA (440 nucleotides) under uncultured bacterium. RNAcentral describes it as "partial 16S ribosomal RNA". It matches the Rfam family "Bacterial small subunit ribosomal RNA", at positions 338 to 795 of the family's 1533-position model. The record is from RNAcentral.